AUACGUAGGGGGCAAGCGUUAUCCGGAAUUAUUGGGCGUAAAGAGUGCGUAGGUGGUUCUUUAAGCGUGAGGUGAAAGGCAAUGGCUUAACCAUUGUAAGCCUUGCGAACUGGGGGACUUGAGUGCAGGAGAGGUAAGUGGAAUUCCUAGUGUAGCGGUGAAAUGCGUAGAUAUUAGGAGGAACACCAGUGGCGAAGGCGACUUACUGGACUGUAACUGACACUGAGGCACGAAAGCGUGGGGAGC
Molecule: ribosomal RNA, 246 nt
Filed under: uncultured bacterium
Lineage: Bacteria
Description: partial 16S ribosomal RNA
Rfam family: Bacterial small subunit ribosomal RNA
Source: RNAcentral